Molecule: microRNA precursor, 56 nt
Filed under: Rattus norvegicus (Norway rat)
Lineage: Eukaryota; Metazoa; Chordata; Mammalia; Rodentia; Muridae
Description: Rno-Mir-3580_pre stem-loop
Source: RNAcentral
UGCUUGUACUUAUUCUGGUGACAUGAGGUAUCUGUGACUAGGGUAGUAUGAGUAGA